This 1345-nucleotide long non-coding RNA is filed under the name Pogona vitticeps (central bearded dragon). RNAcentral's name for it is "lncRNA (ENSPVIG00000001311.1)". Lineage: Eukaryota; Metazoa; Chordata; Lepidosauria; Squamata; Agamidae. The record is from RNAcentral.
AUGGAGAAAGGAAACCCGACAGAAGGAAAGAGGAAGUGGAUACAUGUUUGCUUACAUGUCCACCUUGCGGUCAAGAGCCCAGCAGGACUUCAGACUCAGUGGAGACAGCGCUCCCUCUUCCCCUUAGUAAGAACAGUUUACUUAAAAAGGUGCUCAGCUGGUACAAACCACAAUUCACCAAAAUCAUUGUACUCGUUACCAGUUUUGAGAAGCCCAGUGUCACUAAUUCUUGGAUCGUGUGUACUUUCAGGGAGAUCCUGGUGUGCCAGGUUUCAAAGGAGAAGCAGGCCCCAAAGGCGAACCCGGUCCACAUGGCCCUCAGGGUCCAAUUGGCCCUGUUGGUGAAGAAGGGAAAAGAGGUCCUCGUGGUGACCCUGGAGCGGUUGGCCCUCCUGGACCUGUGGGAGAACGGGUGAGGAGAAUAGCAAACAUCAAGUCUCAGGAAUUUUGUCUUACAUCCUCCUGCGUGUGAAAUUCUUCAUUCAGCUCCAUGGUUGAAACUCAGUUUCUGUAUCUGUAUGACUGUCAUCAAUUCAGGGCAUUAGAAGGGAUCCAGCAAUGGCUGUAUUAGAAUGAUCAGAUUACGUAAGAGCAAAAGAUCAGAGAUCUAACACAAACUCAUAAAUAACUGGAAGCCUUCUGUUGGAAAAGCUGUGAAAAGCAAGACGAUACCUGACCACAACAAAUAGCAACAUAAGGUUCAAUGUAUUUUAGAAACAUUACUAGCAGUUAUUCAAAGCUUAAGAGACUGAUGACCUGUAUUAUUAAGUGGGAAAUUGAUAGAUCAGUGGUUUAGGUCUCUGUCUUAGAUAGAAGUCAGAGAUUGGGAGUUUGAUUCUUCAUGGCGCCUCCUUGACAGGGGCUGGACUCCAUGAUCUCUGGAGGGUCCCUUCCAGCUCUGCAGUUCUAAGGUUAUAAAUUUCUUCUAGAACUAUCACAAUGCAGCUUCACAUUUGCCAAAUCGGAGUUUUCCACUUGGGUGCAGAACUGUACAUCUCUCUGCUAUAAACAUUGCUCAUAUAUGUAACCUAUUUUUUUAAAAUACCAAAAAAUGAAAUGAAAUGAAAAUUGAAAUGUGUGGCUUUGAUUCUGUAGGGACCUCCCGGCAAUCGUGGCUUUCCAGGUUCUGAUGGCUUGCCGGGACCAAAGGUAAGUUGCCGUGAUUCAUGGGGCCUCAUAAAGUUCCUAAAGGCUUGUUAUAAUAGUAUGCAUGCAUGAAAAAGGGAAACUGAAAUGGAAGGCAACGUCAACAGAAAGCAGCACUAAAAUGGUGGUAUUCUGUGAAAUCUGUAGCCUUGUUCCCUUUCUCAGCUAGUCUCCAUUUUAAAUGAUCUCCUGUGGUGUU